GGUAAUACGGAGGGUGCAAGCGUUAAUCGGAAUUACUGGGCGUAAAGCGCACGCAGGCGGUUGAUUAAGUCAGAUGUGAAAUCCCCGAGCUUAACUUGGGAACUGCAUUUGAAACUGGUCAGCUAGAGUCUUGUAGAGGGGGGUAGAAUUCCAGGUGUAGCGGUGAAAUGCGUAGAGAUCUGGAGGAAUACCGGUGGCGAAGGCGGCCCCCUGGACAAAGACUGACGCUCAGGUGCGAAAGCGUGGGGAGCAAACAGGAUUA
This 262-nucleotide ribosomal RNA is filed under the name Hafnia alvei. RNAcentral's name for it is "partial 16S ribosomal RNA". It matches the Rfam family "Bacterial small subunit ribosomal RNA", at positions 519 to 780 of the family's 1533-position model. Lineage: Bacteria; Pseudomonadati; Pseudomonadota; Gammaproteobacteria; Enterobacterales; Hafniaceae. The record is from RNAcentral.